Molecule: unclassified non-coding RNA, 170 nt
Filed under: uncultured Trichoderma
Lineage: Eukaryota; Fungi; Ascomycota; Sordariomycetes; Hypocreales; Hypocreaceae
Description: sequence contains ITS2
Source: RNAcentral
CAACCCUCGAGCCCCUCCGGGGGGUCGGCGUUGGGGAUCGGCCCCGUCACCGGGUGCCGCCCCCUAAAUGCAGUGGCGGUCUCGCCGCAGCCUCUCAUGCGCAGUAGUUUGCACACUCGCACCGGGAGCGCGGCGCGUCCUCGUCCGUAAAACACCCCAAACUUCUGAAA